GGUACAUUGCUGAGCAAGUGGAGAUAGACGACGAUAAAUAGAUAUGCACGAAAAGAAAAGAAGCUAGAAGCGAAGCGGGUAAUAUCGGUAUUUGCCGAGCUGUGAGAACAUCUAAAUUUUCGAAUGGAUGAAAACAUCUUACAACAUGUGCAGGCUGUCCUGAAGAAUGAAGGAUUGUUAGAGAGGAAUAUGCCAACCAGAACUGCAAUUAGGAGUCAUUGACAGGAGGAACCUUUGUGACUUGUACGAGGAUGAAGCUUUCAAGCACCACACGCUACCUUAUCAACAUGCUUGAAGAUGAUCUGAGCCUGAGGAGGGACAAAGGGCCUAGUGAUCGACUACCUUUGUAUCUGCAAAUAUCGACAAUUCUGCGUUUGUAUGCUGAUAAUUUCAGGGAAUACAUGGUGAUGAGACAUCAGCUGUUGAGUGAUCAAAGAUGUUUCGCAAGCCAUAGCAAGAAGAAAGGUUUUGUGAGAACUUCAACAACGAGAGAUGAGAUUGAGGCUACCCAACAACAACUGUAUGAGCGUUGUGGCCCAGUGGAUUAGUCUCCCGGACCUUGAAACAGAGGGUCGUGGGUUCGAAUCCCAGCCAUGGCGUAAUUUCCUUCAACAAGAAACUGAUCCACACGGUGCUGCACUCAACCUAGGUGAGGUAAAUGGGUACCGGUAGGAAGUAAUUCCUCAAGAAGCUGUGAACGCCUAGCUUAGCCGGGUAAUAUAGGAGCGCCUUGAGCACCUAAUAAGGUGGAUAUGUGCGCAAUAUAAAUACCCUAUAUUAUUAUUUUGAGUACCAGUACUACAGGAAUUCAAUAGUCAUAGGUGUGAUCGAUGGGACCCAUGUCUAUAUAAGAUAAUAAGAAUUCCUGGAGGAACACAAGCUUUGUACUUUUUUGAAGGGCAAGUCCACCCCAACAAAGAGUUUCUUUGAUAUAAUAGAGAAAAGUCCAAUGAGCAUAACACUGAAACUUUCAUUAAAAUUUGAUGUAAAAUGAGAAAGUUCUGACAUUUUGAAGUUUUGCUUAUAAGUUAUUUUCACAAAACAUCUGUGCACAUCCUGGUCAUUAUGCAAAUGAGCGACCAAGUGACGUUCUCCAUUCACCGUUUCUUUUGAAAUAUAUCAUUAAAUAUGAUUUUUUUUUCCGCCUCAUAAUGUGUAAUACAGGUGUACCGGUAUGCUUUGAUUUCUCCCUGAAAUUUGUGUAAAAAGCCAUUGUGGCAACCUGAACUCAAUUCAAUGAAGACUUAUAAUUGUGAAUUCUGUAAAAAUUCAAGUUUUAUAAUAUAUUUCAUAUCUUGAUAUGCAAAAGAAAGACUGUGACAUAGACUUAAUUGCAUAUCACCUGUUUUGUGCAUAUAAGUGAUUUGUGUGAAUCUUUGAUAUGUCAUUACUUAUUUUACAUCAUAUUUUGAUGUUGUCAGUGUCAUGCAUGUUUUAUUUUUAUCUAUCCAUUCAAAGAAACUUUUUGUUGUACAGUGGACUUGCUCUAGAACAGGUAUUUUUGUAUGUACAUGUAAGAAUUUCAUUAUUUAUUUGUGUCUUUUCUUUUAACGCUUUUUUACUGGGGGUUGAAGCAACCUCCCUUGAGAUCUUGGCCAAUGAUCACGUAAACGCCUUGAAAAUUGGUAUGAUAAUAGUGGGGGAUGUAAUGUGCAAUGAAAUAUGGUUAAUUUUUCCGAAAUUGUCAGAUCUUUUAUAUGAAUUAUGCUAAUUUAUGUGUAAAUUAUACUUUUAUACCAUUGCUAUAAAAUGCUAACAAUCAAAUAUAUAAAAAAAUCCUAGUUUUAAAAUGAAUUUCUCAUGUAUUUUAUUGUUUUAUGAAUUUCCUAUGUAUAUCUUUGUUUUUCAACCUUUUGGUUUUCUUUAUUAAGAAGAUGAGAAAACUCAACAUUGACCUUUUACACAAAAUCCCAUUUUGGAGCAAUUUUGGGUCUGACAUGCACUUAUGUAAUGUUGAGUAAUUUUCCAACCGCAUACCAGGCAUCGUAAAUUUGGUCUCAAAAGAUGUGCAAGACUUCAAAAUAAAAUGUUGGCGAGCAGCACAGUCGUAUAAUUUAUCACAGUGGAAUGGUCGUGGAAAAUGUCGAGGGUGGGGGGGUUGAUUCAACCCCCCCCCCCCGCGGUUUUAGGGUUGAAAUAGCACAUGAUUUUUGAGAAUUUCACAUGAAUACAAAGGAAAUUAUCUAAUCUAUUUCUUUUUUAAGUAUUUGAAAUUAACUUUUAUCAGAUUUAAAUUCUUUCACAGACUACAUGUAUCUUCAAUGAUUUUUAAAUUUAAACAGUUUGUUAAAAAAAACACUAUUUAAUCACGAAGCAUCAAAUGUAAAUUCCUCAUUUACUUUUUCAUGUAAAAUAUUCUCACAUAUUUCAAAUUGUAUUUUUCAAAUGUUUAGAACUUUGAUAGCUCCCAGAAAGUUUAUUGCAUGCUCCAAAAUAUGCAUAUGUGUCCAUGAGGAUGAUGAGGUCAAGGGUCAUCAAUUUAAAUUGCUCUAAUUUCUUUGUUUUUGCAUUAGUUGUAUUUACAUUUUGCACAGAUAACCAUUGGGUAUUAAAUACCACAUGUACAUGUAUGUCAAAGAGGAUGAUAAGGUCAAAAGAUCAUAUUGCAUAGUUUAUUGAUCGUGAUAUCAGGCGAGACACGUGGUUCACCUUGUUUUUUGUUGAAAUGUAUUCUUUUCAUGUGUCCACAGGGCAACAUCCUAUCUGAGCCUUAUGAAUAGAGCUUGACUCAGGCAACUGGGAAAACACUAGCUUGGCCAGGCACAUGCACAUUUAGGGGGCAUGAAUGAAACAAAAGGGCAAUUAAUGUAUUUUCUUGGAAAAAAUAUAAUUUCAAUUGACCCCCCAAGGAUAACCUGAUGGCCUAGUUGAGGAAACCAGGCAGCCUAACGAGUAGAGCUUGACUCGGUCAACCAGAAAAACACCAGCUAAUAAUGAACACUAAUGAUUAUUCAUAUAGGCCAUUAUUGUAUUGUAAUACAAGAAUGUGGCAAGAUAUCAAAACCUGGAAUAAGUAUUUAUUUACUUCACAAAUAUUUGUAAUUUUACAAUAUGUUAUAAAAUGCCAAUUGAGUAUUAGAUUUUCAGUGUGUUAUAUUUUUAUGUAAUUUCCUGAUGUGAUUUUCCAAGGUACCAGGUGAUUUCAUGCAAAUUAAAGAUAUACAG
This is a long non-coding RNA of Lytechinus pictus (painted urchin), 3165 nucleotides long. RefSeq lists it as uncharacterized. The record is from RefSeq and is a predicted model, not a curated record. Lineage: Eukaryota; Metazoa; Echinodermata; Echinoidea; Temnopleuroida; Toxopneustidae. The transcript is spliced from 4 exons.